Molecule: ribosomal RNA, 447 nt
Filed under: uncultured bacterium
Lineage: Bacteria
Description: partial 16S ribosomal RNA
Rfam family: Bacterial small subunit ribosomal RNA
Source: RNAcentral
AACGAACGCUGGCGGCAUGCCUAACACAUGCAAGUCGAACGAUGGCUUCGGCCAUAGUGGCGCACGGGUGAGUAACACGUGGGAACCUGCCUUUCGGUUCGGAAUAACGUUUGGAAACGAACGCUAACACCGGAUACGACCUUCGGGGGAAAGUUCACGCCGAGAGAGGGGCCCGAGUCCGCUUAGGUAGUUGGUGGGGUAACGGCGUACCAAGCCGACGAUCGGUAGCUGGUCUGAGAGGAUGUUCCGCCACACUGGGACUGAGACACGGCCCAGAAUCCUAGGGGAGGCAGCAGUGGGGAAUAUUGGACAAUUGAGGAAACCCUGAUCUAGCCAUGCCGCGUGAGCGAUGAACGCCUUAGGGUUGUAAAGAUCUUUCAGGUGGGAAGAUAAUGACUGUACCACCAGAAGAAGCCCCGGCUAACUCCGUGCCAGCCGCCGCCGUAA